This 433-nucleotide ribosomal RNA is filed under the name uncultured bacterium. Its description in RNAcentral is "partial 16S ribosomal RNA". It matches the Rfam family "Bacterial small subunit ribosomal RNA", at positions 29 to 507 of the family's 1533-position model. The record is from RNAcentral.
AACGAACGCUGGCGGCAUGCCUAACACAUGCAAGUCGAACGAGACCUUCGGGUCUAGUGGCGCACAGGUGCGUAACGCGUGGGAACCUGCCCUUAGGUUCGGAAUAACUCCCCGAAAGGGGUGCUAAUACCGGAUAAUGUCUUCGGACCAAAGAUUUAUCGCCUUUGGAUGGGCCCGCGUUGGAUUAGCUAGUUGGUAGGGUAAAAGCCUACCAAGGCGACGAUCCAUAGCUGGUCUGAGAGGAUGAUCAGCCACACUGGGACUGAGACACGGCCCAGACUCCUACGGGAGGCAGCAGUGGGGAAUAUUGGACAAUGGGCGAAAGCCUGAUCCAGCAAUGCCGCGUGAGUGAUGAAGGCCUUAGGGUUGUAAAGCUCUUCUACCCGGGAUGAUAAUGACAGUACCGGGAGAAUAAGCUCCGGCUAACUCCGUG